GAUGAAGAACGUAGUGAAAUGCGAAAAGUAAUGUGAAUUGCAGAAUUCAGUGAAUCAUCGAAUCUUUGAACGCACAUUGCGCCCGCCAGUAUUCUGGCGGGCAUGCCUGUCUGAGCGUCAUUUCAACCCUCACGCCCCUAGGGCGUGGUGUUGGGGAUCGGCCAGCGCCCUCGCGGGCGAGGCCGUCCCCUAAAUCUAGUGGCGGACCCGUCGUGGCCUCCCCUGCGAAGUAGUGAUAUUCCGCAUAGGAGAGCGACGAGCCCCUGCCGUUAAACCCCCAACUUUCCAAGGUUGACCUCAGAUCAGGUAGGAAUACCCGCUGAACUUAAGCAUAUCAAUAAGCGGAGGA
RNAcentral lists this unclassified non-coding RNA (349 nucleotides) under soil metagenome. Its description in RNAcentral is "partial contains 5.8S ribosomal RNA, internal transcribed spacer 2, and large subunit ribosomal RNA". The stretch from base 1 to 120 matches the Rfam family "5.8S ribosomal RNA", at positions 35 to 154 of the family's 154-position model. The record is from RNAcentral.